RNAcentral lists this long non-coding RNA (631 nucleotides) under Olea europaea (common olive). RNAcentral's name for it is "long non-coding RNA (OEUR_LNC009803)". The record is from RNAcentral. Lineage: Eukaryota; Viridiplantae; Streptophyta; Magnoliopsida; Lamiales; Oleaceae.
CGGUUCGGUUCGGGUCCGGUUUGAUUCGGUCGAUUUGAGAGUUUUGUUCAGCUCUAACUAGCAAAAGUUAGCCUCAAGUCAAGUUGCCUACAGAUUUUCGUAGACUAUAGAACCAAGAUCAUUAUCCAACAGAUUCCAAACUUUUGAGGUUGUGUACUCCGAUUGGAGCUUGUCAACAUAAACAUAUGAAUUUGGCGACCUAUUUGGGCUAGUGACUUCUGUAUUUACAUUUAAUUUCCUAGUACAGAGUAUUGACAUGCAGGAAUUAUCCAACAGAUUCCAAACUUAGUGUUUUUGAUUGUUCCAGAAGAAAUGAAAACCUUGAUAUACCCCAGAAUAAUACAUUUUUGUUACCACGAGACAUAUUGGCAGCCGCUGAUCCCUUAGUUUCACUUGGUUGGGGCAGAGUUUCAGCCUUCCUUCCACCGAGCACCCCCUACAUAUUUGAUACCUUCUCCUACAAAGAAACUUAUAACACCAACCCCAUUUAAUUUAGGAAAAUUUUCUAUUUCCAAGCUUUCAGAAUAAUUAUUUAUGAUUGAAGGUUGUGUACUCCGAUUGGAGCUUGUCAACAUAAACAUUUAAAUUUAGAGACCUAUUUGGGCUAGUGGCUUCUGUAUUUACAUUUAAU